GACGAACGCUGGCGGCGUGCUUAACACAUGCAAGUCGAACGGAAAGGCCCUGCUUUUGUGGGGUGCUCGAGUGGCGAACGGGUGAGUAACACGUGAGUAACCUGCCCUUGAUUUUGGGAUAACUUCAGGAAACUGGGGCUAAUACCGGAUAGGAGCUCCUGCUGCAUGGUGGGGGUUGGAAAGUUUCGGCGGUUGGGGAUGGACUCGCGGCUUAUCAGCUUGUUGGUGGGGUAGUGGCUUACCAAGGCUUUGACGGGUAGCCGGCCUGAGAAGGUGACCGGCCACAUUGGGACUGAGAUACGGCCCAGACUCCUACGGGAGGCAGCAGUGGGGAAUAUUGCACAAUGGGCGGAAGCCUGAUGCAGCAACGCCGCGUGCGGGAUGACGGCCUUCGGGUUGUAAACCGCUUUCGCCUGUGACGAAGCGUGAGUGACGGUAAUGGGUAAAGAAGCACCGGCUAACUACGUG
RNAcentral lists this ribosomal RNA (468 nucleotides) under uncultured bacterium. RNAcentral describes it as "partial 16S ribosomal RNA". It matches the Rfam family "Bacterial small subunit ribosomal RNA", at positions 28 to 507 of the family's 1533-position model. The record is from RNAcentral.